This 430-nucleotide ribosomal RNA is filed under the name Enicospilus ramidulus. Its description in RNAcentral is "partial 16S ribosomal RNA". Lineage: Eukaryota; Metazoa; Arthropoda; Insecta; Hymenoptera; Ichneumonidae. The record is from RNAcentral.
GGUUUUAUGAAUUUAAUUUAAAAUCUGACCUGCUCAAUGAAAUUAAUUAAAUAGCUGCAGUAUAUUAACUGUACAAAGGUAGCAUAAUCAAUAGUUUUUUAAUUGAAAGCUUGUAUGAAUGGUUUGAUGAGAUAAAAACUUUUUUUAAUUAAAAAUUUAGAAUUUUUUUAUUAGUAAAAAAACUAAUUUAAUUUUAAAAGACGAGAAGACCCUAUAGAAUUUUAUUUAAAUUAAAUUUAAAUUUAAUUUAAAAUAUUAAAUUUAAAUUUAAUUUAAUUUAAUUGGGGUGAUUAUUAAAUUUAAAUAACUUUAAUUAAUUAUUAUUUUAAUUAAAAAAUAUAUGAUCCUUUAAUAAAGAUUAUAAGAUUAAAUUACCUUAGGGAUAACAGAAUAAUUUUUUUAGAGAGAUCAUAUUGAUAAAAAAGAUUAU